AGGCGCCCUGGGGGGCCGAACGGC
This 24-nucleotide microRNA is filed under the name Triticum aestivum (bread wheat). RNAcentral's name for it is "tae-nsmR10". Lineage: Eukaryota; Viridiplantae; Streptophyta; Magnoliopsida; Poales; Poaceae. The record is from RNAcentral.